UACCAGCACCCCGAGUGGUCGGGACGUUUAUUGGGCCUAAAGCAUCCGUAGCCGGUUCUACAAGUCUUCCGUUAAAUCCAGCUGCUUAACAGAUGGGCUGCGGAAGAUACUAUGGAGCUAGGAGGCGGGAGAGGCAAGCGGUACUCGAUGGGUAGGGGUAAAAUCCGUUGAUCCAUUGAAGACCACCAGUGGCGAAGGCGGCUCACUGGUCCGGUACUGACGCUGAGGUGCGAAAGCGUGGGGAGCAAACAGG
Molecule: ribosomal RNA, 253 nt
Filed under: uncultured bacterium
Lineage: Bacteria
Description: partial 16S ribosomal RNA
Rfam family: Archaeal small subunit ribosomal RNA
Source: RNAcentral